CAGCAGCCACGGUAAUACGUAGGGUGCGAGCGUUAAUCGGAAUUACUGGGCGUAAAGCGUGCGCAGGCGGUUCGGAAAGAAAGAUGUGAAAUCCCAGGGCUUAACCUUGGAACUGCAUUUUUAACUACCGGACUAGAGUGUGUCAGAGGGAGGUGGAAUUCCGCGUGUAGCAGUGAAAUGCGUAGAGAUGCGGAGGAACACCGAUGGCGAAGGCAGCCUCCUGGGAUAACACUGACGCUCAUGCACGAAAGCGUGGGGAGCAAACAGGAUUAGAUACCCGCGUAGUCCCUGUCUCUUAUAC
This 301-nucleotide ribosomal RNA is filed under the name uncultured bacterium. Its description in RNAcentral is "partial 16S ribosomal RNA". It matches the Rfam family "Bacterial small subunit ribosomal RNA", at positions 509 to 807 of the family's 1533-position model. The record is from RNAcentral.